This 398-nucleotide ribosomal RNA is filed under the name uncultured bacterium. RNAcentral describes it as "partial 16S ribosomal RNA". It matches the Rfam family "Bacterial small subunit ribosomal RNA", at positions 360 to 775 of the family's 1533-position model. The record is from RNAcentral.
AAUAUUGCACAAUGGGGGAAAUCCUGAUGCAGCGACGCCGCGUGAGUGAAGAAGUAUUUCGGUACGUAAAGCUCCAUCAGCAGGCAAGAAAAUGACGGUACCUGACUAAGAAGCCCCGGCUAACUACUUGCCAGCAGCCGCGGUAAUAUGUAGGGGGCAAGCGUUAUCCGGAUUUACUGGGUGUAAAGGGAGCGUAGGUGGUUUGGUAAGUCAGAUGUGAAAGCCCGGGGGUCGACCCCAGGACAGCAUUUGAAACUAUCAAACUAGAGUGAAGGAGAGGUAAGUGGAAUUCCUAGUGUAGCGGUGAAAUGCGUAGAUAUUAGGAGGAACACCAGUGGCGAAGGCGGCUUACUGGACUGUAACUGACACUGAGGCUCGAAAGCGUGGGGAGCAAACAG